This 497-nucleotide ribosomal RNA is filed under the name uncultured bacterium. RNAcentral's name for it is "partial 16S ribosomal RNA". It matches the Rfam family "Bacterial small subunit ribosomal RNA", at positions 28 to 507 of the family's 1533-position model. The record is from RNAcentral.
GACGAACGCUGGCGGCGUGCCUAAUACAUGCAAGUUGAGCGCUGAAGGUUGGUACUUGUACCAACUGGAUGAGCAGCGAACGGGUGAGUAACGCGUGGGGAAUCUGCCUUUGAGCGGGGGACAACAUUUGGAAACGAAUGCUAAUACCGCAUAAAAACUUUAAACACAAGUUUUAAGUUUGAAAGAUGCAAUUGCAUCACUCAAAGAUGAUCCCGCGUUGUAUUAGCUAGUUGGUGAGGUAAAGGCUCACCAAGGCGAUGAUCCAUAGCCGACCUGAAGGGGUGAUCGGCCACAUUGGGACUGAGACACGGCCCAAACUCCUACGGGAGGCAGCAGGAGGGAAUCUUCGGCAAUGGACGAAAGUCUGACCGAGCAACGCAGCGUGAGUGAAGAAGGUUGUCGGAUCGGAAAACUCUGUUGGUAGAGAAGAACGUUGGUGAGAGUGGAAAGCGCAUCAAGUGACGGUAACUACCCAGAAAGGGACGGCUAACUACGUG